This 314-nucleotide long non-coding RNA is filed under the name Erythranthe guttata (spotted monkey flower). RNAcentral's name for it is "long non-coding RNA (EGUT_LNC000830)". Lineage: Eukaryota; Viridiplantae; Streptophyta; Magnoliopsida; Lamiales; Phrymaceae. The record is from RNAcentral.
UUUUGAGAUUGAGAUGCAGUAGUUGUGCUUCUUCUUGAUGUUGGAUGAUGAUACAGCCAUUUUUUUUCUCUCACACACUCAGACGCGCGUGAGAUACACGCACACGCACACAGACGCAAAAACACGCAGUAGAAACUAGAAAAAGGAGACACUUUAGAGAUGAAUGUUUAAGUGUACUAAGGUUGUUGUUCCGUUCGUUCCACCAUUUUUUUUGUGAGCUUUCGUGGAAAGAUUUAAGAGAGAGAGAGAGAGAGAGAGAGGGUAGAGAGAGAAAGUUGGGCGGCGGGAAACGCGAGAAAAUGAUUAGAUGCGCG